This 290-nucleotide ribosomal RNA is filed under the name uncultured bacterium. Its description in RNAcentral is "partial 16S ribosomal RNA". It matches the Rfam family "Bacterial small subunit ribosomal RNA", at positions 335 to 642 of the family's 1533-position model. The record is from RNAcentral.
UUGCCUACGGGAGGCAGCAGUCGGGAAUAUUGCGCAAUGGAGGAAACUCUGACGCAGUGACGCCGCGUAUAGGAAGAAGGUUUUCGGAUUGUAAACUAUUGUCGCGAGGGAAGAAGAUGACAGUACCUCAGGAGGAAGCUCCGGCUAACUAUGUGCCAGCAGCCGCGGUAAUACAUAGGGAGCAAGCGUUAUCCGGAAUUAUUGGGUGUAAAGGGUGCGUAGACGGGAAAUUAAGUUAGUUGUGAAAUCCCUUGGCUUAACUGAGGAACUGCAACUAAAACUGAUUUUCU